GACGAACGCUGGCGGCGUGCUUAACACAUGCAAGUCGAACGGAAAGGCCCUGCUUUUGUGGGGUGCCCGAGUGGCGAAGGGGUGAGUAACACGUGAGUAACCUGCCCUUGACUUUGGGAUAACUUCAGGAAACUGGGGCUAAUACCGGACAGGAGCCCCCGCUGCAUGGAGGGGGUUGGAAAGUUUCGGCGGUCGGGGAUGGACUCGCGGCUUACCAGCUUGUUGGUGGGGUAGUGGCUUACCAAGGCUUUGACGGGUAGCCGGCCUGAGAGGGUGACCGGGCACAUUGGGACUGAGAUACGGACCAGACUCCUACGGGAGGCAGCAGUGGGGAAUAUUGCACAAUGGGCGGAAGCCUGAUGCAGCAACGCCGCGUGCGGGAUGACGGCCUUCGGGUUGUAAACCGCUUUCGCCUGUGACGAAGCGUGAGUGACGGUAAUGAGUAAAGAAGCACCGGCUAACUACGUG
RNAcentral lists this ribosomal RNA (468 nucleotides) under uncultured bacterium. RNAcentral's name for it is "partial 16S ribosomal RNA". It matches the Rfam family "Bacterial small subunit ribosomal RNA", at positions 28 to 507 of the family's 1533-position model. The record is from RNAcentral.